UCUUCUGUAGUGUGUAUUCUACAUUUUGUCUAUAUUGUGUACUAGGGUGUAUUUUGUAUAUAAAGCGUGUAGUAUGUGCUGCCCAUUUAUUGUGUAGCAUAUUUUAUUAAUAUUGUGUUUGUAUAUUUAUUUAUACUGUAUUUAAUGUUUAUAGUUUGUGUGGCAUGCAUGUAUAUGUUGCAUAUUUUUUCUAUAUAUUUGUUGUAUGGUAUAUAAAUAAUGUAUUUUGUGUUCGUAAUGGUAGUGUGUGUAAUGUAUUUAAGUAUGUUUGCGGUACAUGUAUUCUACGAAUGUUUGUGUAUUUUAUUUAUAGUGUGUUUAAUCUUUAGAUGGAAAGAUCUAACGACUCAAUUAUUUUCGCAAGUCAUAUUUAUUUAUUCCCUUAUAAUACCAAAAAGUUAAUAUUGUCAUUCAAGUUCAUUAAAUUGUUAUUCCAAUCCCUAUAAUCAUGUACGUCUAUCUUUUUUCCAUUCUCAUUUUCCUUGCGUGAUUUAUUGGGGAGUUAAUAAUCAUUUUCUUCAACUCCUACCAUUUUUACAUCUUCUUCAACAGAUCUUGUGUGUGUUGAUAAUAUUAUUCUACACUCCGUCACCACUUUAUUUCAUCGGUCAAACGCACCGUUUCUCCACAAAUGGAAACCGUAGCAGAUCCUUCUUCGCUUGAAGACAAUCAGUCAAUCUCCGAUGACGUGCUUGAAAGCACAGGUUCUGUUGUGAAAUUUAAAGAGAAAGAAAAGCGGAGAUCUAGAAGAUAUUCUGAAGUUUGAACUCAAUUCAGUUUAAUUUUCAUUUUGUACGCCAUUUACUUGCAUUGUCCGUUUGUUUGAUAUGAACAGUUAUUGUUUGCUUUUUUAGCUAUCACCGGUUGAUCAGAGUUGUAUGACAUACAUUACCCCUGAUUGUACUCAUUUUGAUCAGAUUUGUAUGACGCAUUUUGGUACUCUAUAAUAUUAUAUAAUGACUCGAAUAUUGGAUUAUUA
Long non-coding RNA from Salvia splendens (bonfire salvia), 979 nucleotides. RefSeq lists it as uncharacterized. The record is from RefSeq and is a predicted model, not a curated record. The transcript has 2 exons. Lineage: Eukaryota; Viridiplantae; Streptophyta; Magnoliopsida; Lamiales; Lamiaceae.